GAUGAAGAACGCAGCGUAAUGCGAUAAGUAAUGUGAAUUGCAGAAUUUAGUGAAUCAUCGAAUCUUUGAACGCACAUUGCACCCCUUGGUAAUCCUUGGGGUAUACCUGUUCGAGCGCCGUUUGUGUCUUAAGGCUUUGCCUUGCGUUGAUGCUGCCCCGAUAGGGGCUCAUCGAAACACAUCGGCGCCCGUCUCGGCCCAGAACGCAACAAACUGCGCGAAUGGUCUUUUUGACGGGCGGCCAAACUCCGAAAGCAUGGCCUCGGAUCAGGUAGGGAUACCCGCUGAACUUAAGCAUAUCAAUAAGCGGAGGA
RNAcentral lists this unclassified non-coding RNA (314 nucleotides) under soil metagenome. RNAcentral describes it as "partial contains 5.8S ribosomal RNA, internal transcribed spacer 2, and large subunit ribosomal RNA". The stretch from base 1 to 120 matches the Rfam family "5.8S ribosomal RNA", at positions 35 to 154 of the family's 154-position model. The record is from RNAcentral.